Long non-coding RNA from Archocentrus centrarchus (flier cichlid), 401 nucleotides. RefSeq lists it as uncharacterized. The transcript is spliced from 4 exons. The record is from RefSeq and is a predicted model, not a curated record. Lineage: Eukaryota; Metazoa; Chordata; Actinopteri; Cichliformes; Cichlidae.
ACUCAUUCAGUGUUCAUCCCUUCAUUUUAGCUCUCCAAAGAGUUGCUGUGUCAGGCUUCUGAUGUGGAUGCCUGCAGAUCAUUUUCGGGCAACUCACCAGAGGACUGUGAUCAUGAUCUUGUCCCUGACAAAAUGUCAAGUUUAGAAAAAUGUGUUUCAUGUGGAGGACCUUUUGCACCUCUGAAAUGGAGUGGUGUGAGAUGUAAAGUUUGCAACCAGUCCUGGCACAAAAAGUGUUAUGUUAAACACAAGGUGGACAUCACUGAACUUCUGCAAGUGGUCUGUACAGAACCAAGUUCAAGUGAGGUGGUAUCAUCAGAAGAGGAGUAUGUUCCUGAUUCCAUAGAUGAUUCAAACAGCUCGUGCGAUGACAGAUCAGAGCCUUUAAAAAUCAGUUACAA